Molecule: ribosomal RNA, 986 nt
Filed under: Lacticaseibacillus rhamnosus
Lineage: Bacteria; Bacillati; Bacillota; Bacilli; Lactobacillales; Lactobacillaceae
Description: bacterial SSU rRNA
Rfam family: Bacterial small subunit ribosomal RNA
Source: RNAcentral
GCGGUAAUACGUAGGUGGCAAGCGUUAUCCGGAUUUAUUGGGCGUAAAGCGAGCGCAGGCGGUUUUUUAAGUCUGAUGUGAAAGCCCUCGGCUUAACCGAGGAAGUGCAUCGGAAACUGGGAAACUUGAGUGCAGAAGAGGACAGUGGAACUCCAUGUGUAGCGGUGAAAUGCGUAGAUAUAUGGAAGAACACCAGUGGCGAAGGCGGCUGUCUGGUCUGUAACUGACGCUGAGGCUCGAAAGCAUGGGUAGCGAACAGGAUUAGAUACCCUGGUAGUCCAUGCCGUAAACGAUGAAUGCUAGGUGUUGGAGGGUUUCCGCCCUUCAGUGCCGCAGCUAACGCAUUAAGCAUUCCGCCUGGGGAGUACGACCGCAAGGUUGAAACUCAAAGGAAUUGACGGGGGCCCGCACAAGCGGUGGAGCAUGUGGUUUAAUUCGAAGCAACGCGAAGAACCUUACCAGGUCUUGACAUCUUUUGAUCACCUGAGAGAUCAGGUUUCCCCUUCGGGGGCAAAAUGACAGGUGGUGCAUGGUUGUCGUCAGCUCGUGUCGUGAGAUGUUGGGUUAAGUCCCGCAACGAGCGGCACCCUUAUGACUAGUUGCCAGCAUUUAGUUGGGCACUCUAGUAAGACUGCCGGUGACAAACCGGAGGAAGGUGGGGAUGACGUCAAAUCAUCAUGCCCCUUAUGACCUGGGCUACACACGUGCUACAAUGGAUGGUACAACGAGUUGCGAGACCGCGAGGUCAAGCUAAUCUCUUAAAGCCAUUCUCAGUUCGGACUGUAGGCUGCAACUCGCCUACACGAAGUCGGAAUCGCUAGUAAUCGCGGAUCAGCACGCCGCGGUGAAUACGUUCCCGGGCCUUGUACACACCGCCCGUCACACCAUGAGAGUUUGUAACACCCGAAGCCGGUGGCGUAACCCUUUUAGGGAGCGAGCCGUCUAAGGUGGGACAAAUGAUUAGGGUGAAGUCGUAACAAGGUAAC